Molecule: long non-coding RNA, 219 nt
Filed under: Homo sapiens (human)
Lineage: Eukaryota; Metazoa; Chordata; Mammalia; Primates; Hominidae
Description: non-protein coding lnc-PHF11-1:1
Source: RNAcentral
AAGCUCACUUACCUGAGUUGAAAAAAAUGUAUGGCUAGGAAGUUAUCAGUGAAGUUAAAUGGUGGCAGAUAUGUCCAAAGAAUACUGCAGGGAUUUAAUGGGCGUUAAUGAAUCACAUGAUGAAUGUGUGGAGAUGGCGGCUAGUGGGCAACAGAGCAAUACUGGAAUAGUGCUAAUAUGAGGAAAUGGUAUCAUCUAUUUAGAAGCCUCGGAACGACG